GCUCACUUCGUCAGCCCAUGUAUUAAAAUUGGAAUGAUACAGAGAAGACUAGCAUGACCCCUGUGUAAGGAUGAUGUGCAAAUUUGUGCAGCAUUCCAUAUUUUA
Artibeus jamaicensis (Jamaican fruit-eating bat) is the source of this 105-nucleotide small nuclear RNA. The record is from RefSeq and is a predicted model, not a curated record. Lineage: Eukaryota; Metazoa; Chordata; Mammalia; Chiroptera; Phyllostomidae.